CACGGGGGUUGCGAGCGUUGUCCGGAAUUACUGGGCGUAAGGGCGCGCAGGCUGUAGAUCAAGUCAGCUGUGAAAUGUCUGGGCUUAACCCGGGCAUGCGGUUGAAACUGAUGUACUGGAGUGCUGUAGAGGCAAGUGGAAUUCCCAGUGUAGCGGUGAAAUGCGUAGAUAUUGGGAAGAACACCGGUGGCGAAGGCGACUUGCUGGGCAGCAACUGACGCUGAGGCGCGAAAGCCAGGGGAGCAAACGGGAUUAGAUA
This 259-nucleotide ribosomal RNA is filed under the name uncultured prokaryote. Its description in RNAcentral is "partial 16S ribosomal RNA". It matches the Rfam family "Bacterial small subunit ribosomal RNA", at positions 524 to 784 of the family's 1533-position model. The record is from RNAcentral.